AAGCUCGCGGCAGUACGGGGAGCGCCCGCCCGCCCCGCCCUGGACCCAACCAAGAGUCCCGCGGAGGGGUGCGGCCACUUGGGGGCAGGAGAAAGCGGAGUACGCCACCCCUCUAGGGACCCAGGAAGCGAGGCGAGCCUCAGGUGGACGCGGUGGUGUGGACCACGGCGAUCAGGGCCUUUCCCCCUGCUGUGGAGACGGAGGUGCCAGGGGACGCCGGCGGCUCCCCACCUUCUGGCCGAGUGGCCUUCUCCGCCUCCGGCUGGACUCCCUCGGGGCGCUCCCUCCAGAGCCUAGUCGGGCUGGCCGGGGGCGGCUGUUUGGCCUGAGUGUCGUCUUACUAAAGCGGAACGCCGGAGGGGAGGCCACUCCGAGAGGAGGCGGUCCCCGGCGGAGGAGGCUUCGUGAAUCCUGCAGCCCCCUGCCCGCCCGCCACUCGAGACGCCGCGCCUCGUGGGUUUCACGCUGGAUGGAGGGGGCGCCGCCGAGGAUGCCCAGCCUCCCCCGCUAACUCUACCUCUCCAGUUCGUCAGGUAGACACAGCCUCUGUCUGCUGUGGUUUUAGUGCCCGUGGCCCCUCAGAAAUUAUUUUUGUCCCCUCCCGAUAGUGGCUUUGGGGGAUGGAGGGCGAGAGAUGCAAAGGGCCAGUGGAAGAUUUUUUAUAGCACAAGGAAUCAAGCCAGGAGAUGGAGGUUUCAUUGCCACCUCGGGGUCUGGGGAGGGGGCGAGCCACACCUCUCCGGUCAGUCUGCGCCCACCAGGACCUGCUGCUGGGAACCGCACACGAAAGGAGAGACACCCAGCACCUGGCCCCUGGACCCGCAGGGCGUCAACCUCCUGGGCUUCUGCCUUUCUAGGUUUCCUCUGACUUUGCUGACCCAAUGACCCCUGGCCACGGGUGGCAAAAACGCCCUCACUGAGCCCUUCGCUAAAGGAGUGCCGGGGUUUAUGUGUCUGGCUUUUAAAAUGGGAUGAGGAGACAAGGAAACAGGACCUGAGAAAGGACACUAUCCAAAAUCUGAUGCUCUCAGAAGUCAACUUUUAAAACUGCCCUGCUCUUUUCAUCCAAAGAUGAAUAUAUGAAGCCAGCUGUUACUGGUUGAAAGUGUGCCUCUUGUUUGCAUGGCAAAGGAAUUCAGUUUUGUGUUUAUUUACAGCUGAAGCUCUCUUGAAAUAAUUGUCUCAGUCACAGCUUUUACAUUUUGGGGAACCAUGCCAUUAGAACUGAAUAUUAGGAACUGUGAUCUUUUGUCUUUUCACAAUUGACAAUACAUUCAGAACUUAUUUCUGAUAAAGCUGGGCAGUUUCUAAGGAUACUGUACUUAUGAUUUAAAGUCAUAACUCCAUGAUGCAAAAGAGAACAAGAAAUAUGUUUCAAUGACUGCCUUUUAAAUUAGCGGUACUCCAGCACUUUGGGAGGCCGAGGUGACAGGAUCGUUUGAGGCCGGGAGUUCAAGACAGCCUGGGCAUCAUAGCCAGACCUUGUUUCUACUAAAAAUAAAAAAUAAAUAAAUUUUCCGGGCAUGGUGGCCCAUGCCUGUAGCCCCAGCUACUCAGGAGGCUGAGGUGGGAGGAUGGCUUGGGCCUAGGAGGUUGAGGCCACAGUGAAUUAUGAUUACACCACGGGACUCCAGCCUGGGUGACAGAGUGAGACCCUGUCUGAAAAAGAAAAAAAAAAUGUAGCUGUACUUAAUGUACUAAAAUUAAAAAUUGGACAACAAUAGUUGAGGACAGUGUAGGCAUUUAAAGGUAGAGGAUUGCACUUUUUUUCUCAUUUUUGUCUUUUAUAUGCAUCAGAAUGAGUGCAUAUUGAAUACUACUUGGUAAGGUCUUAAAUUAAUUUGGUACCUACUGAGAUAAUCCGGCAUUUCAUGUGUAAAGAUAAAUUAGAUAAAUGAAUAAUAUAUCACUAUCUUGGAAAA
This 1922-nucleotide non-coding RNA is filed under the name Pan troglodytes (chimpanzee). The record is from RNAcentral. Lineage: Eukaryota; Metazoa; Chordata; Mammalia; Primates; Hominidae.